GGUCAAACGAAGCAAGAAUGACGGAAAAGCAUAAUUUGGAAGUAAGGUAAGUAUGGCUUACACUAGUCUUAUAUUUUAGAAUAUUCUCUUAUCGUAUUAGUUACGAAUAAGAUAAAUACAUAGUUGAGGUAUGAUGUUCCGGCGUGUAGACGUACGGAACAAGAUAGUCGAACGUACGGAACAAGAUAGUCGAGUAUGACAAGAAACCAUGUUGAUGGUUUAAAAGGAGUUAAAUCGGUAAUUCGAUCAUUUUAUGACAAAUGGAAAAUGAACUUUUAAAUGGUUACCUUAUAGGGUAAACCAAAACAAACAAUAAGGGUAAAACGGUAAAUUGGUCAUUCAUUGACCAUAACUAUUGGUUUUAAAAGACACUUAUGAAGUAAGCUUUAAUAGGCCGAAAGUGUUAAGAAAUGAAUUAUAAGUAAAAUGACCGCACGAUGUAAAUCGGAGCGAGUCAUAUAGUCGAGAUGAAAAUACAUGUCAUCUCGCUAAUAUAAUCGGUCAUCUAGACCAAACGGGUCAAAGGGUGAAGAUACCACCUUUUGAUAAUAGCGACUAAUGAUUCUUGUCGAGUUAUAUGAUUUCAGGAAUAAAUGUAGAAAUGAUAUUUGCAUCGCUAUUAUUUAGUGAUUAUUAUAGCAAGGCAUUAAAACAUGUCAAUACAUUGACCCGAGAAAGGUGAUUGCCAAGAGUGCCCGGAUGAAGAUCAAGCUCGAUGAGGAA
This 723-nucleotide long non-coding RNA is filed under the name Helianthus annuus (common sunflower). The record is from RNAcentral. Lineage: Eukaryota; Viridiplantae; Streptophyta; Magnoliopsida; Asterales; Asteraceae.